This 495-nucleotide ribosomal RNA is filed under the name uncultured bacterium. RNAcentral describes it as "bacterial SSU rRNA". It matches the Rfam family "Bacterial small subunit ribosomal RNA", at positions 30 to 518 of the family's 1533-position model. The record is from RNAcentral.
UGAACGCUAGCGACAGGCCUAACACAUGCAAGGUCAGGGGCAGCACAAGGAGCAAUCUGAGGUGGCGACCGGCGCACGGGUGAGUAACACGUAUGCAACCUGCCUGUAAGCGGGGAAUAACCCGUUGAAAGACGGACUAAUACCGCAUAAUACUAAAUUACUGCAUGGUAAUUUAUUUAAACAUUUAUGGCUUACAGAUGGGCAUGCGCAUGAUUAGCUAGUUGGAGAGGUAACGGCUCCCCAAGGCAACGAUCAUUAGGGGUUCUGAGAGGAAGGUCCCCCCACACUGGUACUGAGACACGGACCAGACUCCUACGGGAGGCAGCAGUGAGGAAUAUUGGUCAAUGGACGAGAGUCUGAACCAGCCAAGUCGCGUGCAGGAAGAAUUGUCCUAUGGAUUGUAAACUGCUUUUGCAGGGGAAUAAAGUGCAUCACGUGUGAUGUUUUGUAUGUACUCUGCGAAUAAGGAUCGGCUAACUCCGUGCCAGCCGCCGC